UCUCCGUAGGUGAACCUGCGGAGGGAUCAUUCACAUGAUUUACUUUAUAAACAAACUGUGAACUUUAUUAUCAUACUAUUCUUGUAGGGAUUAUUUUAUAAUCUUUUACAACGUCAUUCGAUGAACAUUAGAUAGUUGGCUUGUUUUUUUUAAAUAAAAAACUUUCUCAGCUGAUUUGUUUGUUAGACUAAACAUCUAUUCAAUCAAUCAACCAAAAACAUAGAAACAACUCUAUGCCCUGGAUAUCUUGGUUCUC
This 256-nucleotide unclassified non-coding RNA is filed under the name plant metagenome. RNAcentral describes it as "partial contains small subunit ribosomal RNA, internal transcribed spacer 1, and 5.8S ribosomal RNA". The record is from RNAcentral.